UACCUGGUGCAAAGGAAGUCUCCUUUUAU
RNAcentral lists this non-coding RNA (29 nucleotides) under Homo sapiens (human). Lineage: Eukaryota; Metazoa; Chordata; Mammalia; Primates; Hominidae. The record is from RNAcentral.